This 398-nucleotide ribosomal RNA is filed under the name uncultured bacterium. RNAcentral's name for it is "bacterial SSU rRNA". It matches the Rfam family "Bacterial small subunit ribosomal RNA", at positions 791 to 1183 of the family's 1533-position model. The record is from RNAcentral.
UAGUCCACGCCGUAAACGAUGAGCACUAGAUUUUGGAGGUAUUGACUCCUUCAGAAUCGCAGCUAACGCAUUAAGUGCUCCGCCUGGGGAGUACGGUCGCAAGACUAAAACUCAAAGGAAUUGACGGGGGCCCGCACAAGCGGUGGAUUAUGUGGUUUAAUUCGAAGCAACGCGCAGAACCUUACCUAGGCUUGAACUCCUGAGAAUUCUGGGUAAUGCCGGAAGUGCCCUUCGGGGAAUUCAGUGAGAGGUGCUGCAUGGCUGUCGUCAGCUCGUGUUGUGAAAUGUUGGGUUAAGUCUCGUAACGAGCGCAACCCUUAUCCUUGUUUGCCAGCGAGUAAUGUCGGGAACUCCAGGGAGACUGCCGGUGAUAAACCGGGAGGAAGGUGGGGACGGAC